Molecule: ribosomal RNA, 243 nt
Filed under: uncultured bacterium
Lineage: Bacteria
Description: partial 16S ribosomal RNA
Rfam family: Bacterial small subunit ribosomal RNA
Source: RNAcentral
UGGGUAACCUGCCUCAAAGAGGGGAAUAGCCUCCCGAAAGGGAGAUUAAUACCGCAUAAUAUGUUUAGGUCGCAUGACUUUAACAUCAAAGGAUUUUCUUUUAGAAAUUCCACUUUGAGAUGGACCCGCGGCGCAUUAGCUAGUUGGUGAGGUAACGGCUCACCAAGGCAACGAUGCGUAGCCGACCUGAGAGGGUGAUCGGCCACAUUGGAACUGAGACACGGUCCAGACCUCCUAGGGAGG